GGGUCAUCAGAAUUAGAAUCAACAAGAAGUGGGGCCCAUAGAAAUUCCACAGUAGCAUCGUAUUCCUCUGCCCUGAAAAUGGUAAGAGGAGCAUUUGGAGACAUAGAUCUCUUAUCCGCUGGCACUGACUGUAACAAACAUACCAUUGAUAUCCAUUGCCCUCUAUUUAGUGAAUCACCCACAAACAUCAGUCUCUUCCCUCUCAACUUCUCCCACAUUUCAGUAACAUUCCAUCUCUUCAAAUUGCAGUUGUGAGGUUGCCACCUCCAGUACUGGUAUCCCAAAUCGGACCUUCCAUGCUUGUGACAUGCCAAUUGGUCAGACAUGUACGGACAAUCCGACUCAUUAUAAAGCGGGCACGAUUUAUUAUCAAAUACCCAUUUACCCGAAAACACAUCACAGCUCUCCAAACUCUCGCUCCGUUGACCCAAUUUCGGUUUCCGAUCAACCCAUUGG
Molecule: unclassified non-coding RNA, 456 nt
Filed under: Hevea brasiliensis (rubber tree)
Lineage: Eukaryota; Viridiplantae; Streptophyta; Magnoliopsida; Malpighiales; Euphorbiaceae
Source: RNAcentral